AAGUUUUCGAACUCAACUAGAAGCAAACUGACACUUUCUUAAAGAUCCAAAAGACAAGAAUCCACUUCUGUCAUUUUAAUUCAAGCAGAAAAGUCAUCAUAGGAGAAAGAGCUAAGGAGUUUCUCCCACUAUUGUGGUUCAGUGCAAAUUGCAGCCUCUUGAACCUCAUUUUCUUGGGUUGGUUUGCUUGCUUGCUAAGCAAUUACCACCAAUGACAAGUUCACUUGCUAUUUAGCCUGCAGGCACCAUAAUAACGAUGUGGAGACUCUGAAAACAUGCUGCAAGAAACUUUUAUAAACAUCACUUACUGCUGACUUGAAGAUAAACUUGCUUGACAGCUAAACUUUCUUCAUGUGCAAGUUAUACCAAAUGUAACAUGAUUUAUUAAAACAUCACUUAUUUAA
Non-coding RNA from Pantherophis guttatus, 404 nucleotides. NCBI's taxonomy places the organism in Eukaryota, Metazoa, Chordata, Lepidosauria, Squamata, Colubridae. The record is from RefSeq and is a predicted model, not a curated record.